Molecule: non-coding RNA, 89 nt
Organism: Calocera viscosa TUFC12733
Lineage: Eukaryota; Fungi; Basidiomycota; Dacrymycetes; Dacrymycetales; Dacrymycetaceae
Source: the annotation of a GenBank genome assembly
GGCUGUAUAGUCUAGUCGUAUGAUACUCGCUUUGGGCAUUACCACGUGGUGCUUGCGAGAGGUCCCGAGUUCAAUUCUCGGUGCAGCCC